This 2370-nucleotide long non-coding RNA is filed under the name Sus scrofa (pig). RNAcentral describes it as "lncRNA (ENSSSCG00065079009.1)". The record is from RNAcentral. Lineage: Eukaryota; Metazoa; Chordata; Mammalia; Artiodactyla; Suidae.
CUGGUUUUGCAUGGAGAAGCAGAACAUGAUGAAGCAUUUUUCUCCCCCAUUUAAAGAUCCAGUCAUGUUCCAGUUUGCAGGGGCAGAAGGGCUGGUUUGCAGUUGGUGCUGGGAGGAUAGAGUUUCUUCCACAGAAUUAUCUCACUAAAUAACUCUCGCUAAAGCCUAACAAGACUUGUCAUCAAGCCCAUUUUCCGGAGGGAGAAACCGAGACUCCAAGAACUACAGAACCUAUUUCUGUGUCUCAAUACGUAGGCCGGCUCUCCGACUUGACGGAAUCGCUCUGGCAACAGCGCCCUCUAAAGGCGGAGGCGAGUAUGCCUGCGUAACAGUCGUGCCCCGUCCUUUGGCGCUGGAAAUGGCGGAGGGCUCCCUCUGGCUUCUGAGGAUUGUCCAGCGCGCCUCCGAGGUCCUGGAGAAGCCAGGAGCGCUGCCUACAACUCGGCCUUGACUUCCCCGCAGCCUUGGUCGCCGCAGCAUUGGGUCAGAGGCAUCCCUGGAGAUUGCAGAAAGUUAGCGGCGGCCCCUGUUGACGCAGCGAGUGACGGCCCGACAUACCCUGAUAGGCCACGGGGAGGGCCAGACGCAGAGCCUUGAAAGAAGGAGCUUGCGCUCUGGAAGGGGCGUGGCCAGCGCUCUUCCUCGAGGGCGGGGCUCUAGGGGAAGGGGCUCUUCUCUGGGAUAUUGUGCCACAAGCGAGGACACCCGUGCACCUAGCCCAGGGCCUGUGUCCUGGCGUCAGCGCAUCUGUGGGCAGCAACUUUACCCUCCCCAGACCUCAGUUUCUGCACCUGUAAGACGGAGGCUCUUCCACAACUGCAAAAAUCGGAGUUUCAUCCAGCAUUCUCAGAAUUCCUGUCUCCAGGCAGGCACUGAGGAAUCAGAGCUGCGUUCCUGUGGAGGCUCAGAGCUCUGAGAUCUCCUUCACUUGCUGCAUCAGUACUCCUGACACUGGAGAGUUCUGGAGGUUGGAGACCAGCCCCUUCCUGGUGGAACAGGCACCCUGUAGCCUGGGAUGUGACAGUCAUAUGACAGGGCCUGUAACAAGUAACAGUGGUAGCCCAAAUAUGUCGAGCACUUACUAUAUGCCUGGCUUUUCAUGAAGUCUGUCGCAUACGUUAUUUACACCCCCACCCGCACAGCCGUGUCUGGUGGUCCUGUUCUUGACAUCCUGUUUACUGAUGAGCCCAGAGUCACACAAUAGUAGCCAGUCCAAGGUCACCCAGCUAAUAAAUGGCUGAAGCAGUAGUCCACAGUCUCAUCCACUGUUCCGUACCAAAAAAAAAUGUUUAACCUGGAAGGGAGAUGGCAGAGGGGGAAAAUUACAAGAUCCUACCAGUGUUAAUCUAUACCACGAGUUGAGCCCUUAGUAUGUGUUGGAUGCUGGCCUACAGAUCAGCACCAUUUAUACUCCUGACAGUGACCUUAUACUAUAGGGUUGUUAUUUCCACUUCUGAGAGGUCAUCUCAUAUGUCUCUGGUCACACUGCUAGUACAAAACUGGAACUUUGAGUUUAAUGGAUGGUACACUCAGCCUGCCUGUAUAUCACUCUUAGGAAGACCCCACUCUUCUCUGAGCCUGUUUCCCGUUCUGCACAAUGAGAGGUUUGGACCAGAAGGCUCUGGACAUUGUUUCCUGAGCUCACAUUCUUUGAUUUUAGGAGCAUUGACAUGAUGUCCAGAGUCCUGGGUUUGUUCCUAAUUAUCUGUGACUUGGGAACGCCUCGGCCUAAUCCCUUGCAUCUCUGGGCCUCAGUUUCCCCCUUUGUAAAAUGUGGAGAUGAGAAAGUCUCAAUCACCAAGGGACCUUCUGGCUUUAAUAUUUUAUGACUGCAAAUGAAGAGACAAGCUGAGGUUCAGCAAAUUGUGCAUCCUCUGAGAAAUUCUAAUGAAUGUGAUUCUGCCACCUUGCUCAAAACAUUCCUGGUGCAAGGCUUCCAAGGACAGAUGCCCAUGUAGGUCAAGGGGAACAGCCACCUCCAGAUAAUCAGCGUUAACUGCUGGAGGAGGCUCACUCUCCUGAUGGUCCAAAAUCCACCCCUGUGGUCAGACCAGCUUAAGACUGAAUGCCAGCACUUCCCCCUGGGCACCUCAGAGAAGUGACCCUUUCUGUGCCUUAGUUUCUACAUCUGUAAAAUAGGGUGCUAACAGGACCAGCUUCAUUUGAGAUUUGAUGGAAAAACAUGUGCAAAAAGCCUAACAUGGACAUUCCCUGGUGGCUCAGUGGGUUAAGGACCUGGCAUUGUCACUGUCGUGGCACAGGUUUGAUUCCUGGCCCAGGAACUUCCUCAUGCCAAGGGUACAACCCCCAAAAAAAGCCUAACAUGCUACUUCUGGCUUAGGAAAACCCCCAAUAAAUACAACUGUUACC